This 406-nucleotide ribosomal RNA is filed under the name uncultured bacterium. RNAcentral describes it as "partial 16S ribosomal RNA". It matches the Rfam family "Bacterial small subunit ribosomal RNA", at positions 28 to 526 of the family's 1533-position model. The record is from RNAcentral.
GACGAACGCUGGCGGCGUGCCUAAUACAUGCAAGUAGGACGAGUUGCGAACGGGUGAGUAACGCGUGGUCACCUACCUAUUAGAGGGGGAUAACUACUGGAAACGGUAGCUAAUACCGCAUACCAUCGGAUGUGCCCAGAUGGGAUUAGCUAGUGGGUGGGGUAACGGCUCACCUAGGCGACGAUCCCUAGCUGGUCGGGGAGGAUGACCGUCAACACGGGAACUGAGACACGGUCCAGACUCCUACGGGAGGCAGCAGUGGGGAAUAUUGCACAAUGGGCGCAAGCCUGAUGCAGCCAUGCCGCGUGUAUGAAGAAGGCCUUCGGGUUGUAAAGUACUUUCAGCGAGGAGGCGUUACUCGCAGAAGAAGCACCGGCUAACUCCGUGCCAGCAGCCGCGGUAAUUC